This 250-nucleotide ribosomal RNA is filed under the name uncultured bacterium. Its description in RNAcentral is "partial 16S ribosomal RNA". It matches the Rfam family "Bacterial small subunit ribosomal RNA", at positions 525 to 775 of the family's 1533-position model. The record is from RNAcentral. RNAcentral also lists the same sequence under 1 other name.
ACGUAGGCGGCAAGCGUUGUCCGGAAUUAUUGGGCGUAAAGGGAGCGCAGGCGGGAAACUAAGCGGAUCUUAAAAGUGCGGGGCUCAACCCCGUGAUGGGGUCCGAACUGGUUUUCUUGAGUGCAGGAGAGGAAAGCGGAAUUCCCAGUGUAGCGGUGAAAUGCGUAGAUAUUGGGAAGAACACCAGUGGCGAAGGCGGCUUUCUGGACUGUAACUGACGCUGAGGCUCGAAAGCUAGGGUAGCGAACGG